UUGUUGUAUGUUGUUACUUACACAGAUGUUCCAUAAUUUUUUGCAUAUGGCUCAGCCAAAGAAAGCUUUUCACUUCCAUUUUUGGGAAAGUUGCAAGUGCCUGUGUAAGGGCGGGCACGUCUGGUCUUUACAUCAUUUCUAUGGAGACGACAGGGCGGGAUGGCCGGUGGGCAGGCGUGCCCGAGGGUGGACACGCACAUGUGGAGUGACGGGAUCCUCUGCCCCAUGUUGCUCACCACAUUUGAUCUAGCUCCUUCCUGAGUCAUUCCUAUGAGACGGCGGAGUGGCGAGGACACCCGAGGUCGCUGGUAUUUGCUGGGAUAACACAUUAUCUGAAGGCUCUCUAAAGAGGGUUUGAAUAUUUACAGAAGGAAAAAAGAGGCAGGAGAAAUGAGAACACAGUGAAGAUUUUUUGGUUUCUGACUUGGCAGUCUUCACAACUGAAAGCAGCCCGGCCCUCUCCCGUUUCCACGACCUGCCCUGGGCCCUGAGCAGCAUGCACAUAUACGCGACCAGGGGGAAAUGACCUGCAUGAAGUGACAAAAGGCAGAGCAAACACAGGAGAAGGGUCAAAGGCGACGGUGGUGCCGGAGCCGGCCUGGGCUCUCCUGAGGAGCUAUUGCCAGAGUCCAGUCUCCCUGGCGAUUCCUCCAUGAUCAGGGAGAGGGGCCGGCAUGGAAAUCAAUCCAUUCUUUUCCUCACUCUCACUUCAAUUAUCCGUGCUACCUCAGCCUGCACCAGCAUUGAUUCACGAGGUCGAGUCAUCUUUGUACUCACAGGUGUGACACAAUAGGGCACAGACCCGAGCAUGACACAGGUGGUGCCAGCUGCCGAGUCAGGUUUCAUGGUUGUGAAGAGGAAAGUAAAGGUGAUGUUCAGCUCGUCUCCCUGAAGACUGUCCAUCUGAAUUAGGAACGGGAAGUCCUUCCUGUGACUCCACUGAAAGAUAUCAGGACUGUGUCCUUGUUGGAGCACAGCCACGUGAAGAUCCGCUCAUUGGCCUACAUCGUAUAGUUUAUCCAAGACGAGUUUACACUUAAACACCCAGCAAGGGGGAUCUCAGAAGAGCACUUAUGAAAUAGACUGAAAUUUAAUGAUAGAUCUUCUUGGGUAGGUGGACUAUCAAGGCACUCAUAAAAUAACAGGGUUGAAAGAAUAAAAAGGUGGGUGUUUUGGUACGUGAGCCCCUUCAGCCUGGUACAUGGAGGGUGCCCAGGUGGUACUGAAUAAAGGGAAAGGUCUGGAAGAGGAAGGACGAAGCAAUUCAGCUGUCAUUCUGGAGACUCUCUUGUAAGACUGCAAACAAGUCUAACAUCAUCAUUAACAGAAUUUAAUACAGAAAGCUUCCAAGAGAGAAACUCCCAAGUCCCCCCUUUAUGACCAAAUUUCUCAGAGGCUCAGUGGAUCUAAAUUUAAACUCCACAGGAAACAGGACCCUUUGCCUCAAGGCACUAAAGGUAACACAUUUCUAUAAGAGGGCCGUCUGCUUAGCCUGUCUCCUUUGGUAUCAAGGGUCUUGAAUUCAAAAAGGAUCAAUAAAAAAAAACAACACAGAGUUCCUUUUGUGUGCCACUCGCUAUUAACAAAGGAGAAAAAUGUGUGAUUGUCAAUGAGAAUUUGACAACUCAUUUUAACUAAUACCAGUUGAAUUCCCAGAGCUAGAGACUGACCUGGGGUUGGGGGUGACAAGGGUGUGCAGGUAAGACUAGGGACACCCUUUGUUCAGACCAUCAGAACACACACCAGAAAGACCAGGGGGCCUCACCUCAGGGCUACCAUUUCCUCAGAGUCCACGGUCCUAACCCAGCCUAAGUUUGAUCCACCCUGUGGCUUUUGAUGAAUUCUCAGCUGUUGGUUUCAUACUGCAUUAAUGUAAGGACUUCAUUACCUACACAUUCACUUGAAACGAGCAAUUAAACUUUUCUUUGUUGUUUA
Molecule: long non-coding RNA, 1935 nt
Organism: Marmota monax (woodchuck)
Lineage: Eukaryota; Metazoa; Chordata; Mammalia; Rodentia; Sciuridae
Exons: 4
Source: RefSeq, a predicted model, not a curated record